Phoenix dactylifera (date palm) is the source of this 597-nucleotide non-coding RNA. Lineage: Eukaryota; Viridiplantae; Streptophyta; Magnoliopsida; Arecales; Arecaceae. The record is from RefSeq and is a predicted model, not a curated record.
AACAAAAUCUAUCUCUACUACGCUAUAAAGCCACUACCCAUCCUCCUCCUUAAAUCUAACCUAAACCCUCACCAUCCCACCUCUCUCUCUCUCUCUCUCUCUUUCUCUAUCUCAAUGUUUCGGUUUCGGGUUCUUACUAUCACCAUCCUCCGUCCGUGCCGGCGGUGUUAUGCUGUGGCUUCGGCGGCGGCUGAGACCCCACGAGUCCUGCCGGCGGCAGCGGGGACGGAGAAGUCAGGCGCCUGCAGAGCUGCGAAGGAGAAGGAGGCCUUUUGGAUGAGGGAUCCCAAGACGGGGAACUGGAUCCCUGAGAACCGGUUCGCCGACAUCGACGCGGCCGAGCUCCGAGCCCGGCUCCUUCCCAAGAAAUAAUGUAAACCAAUUAUUGAGCAACAAAAACCCGGUCCGAGCCAAUCCGACCGGGUCCCAUUUCCUGAACUCGUUGUCCGGUCCGGCUUGUGCAGGCUCUCAUAAUCUUAUUUUUAAGAAUUUCUUAUUAUUGUUGCACAUUUGUUCCCAAAAAGAUCAAGAUAAAAUAGAGUGAUCUCGAUCGUGAUGAAAACCUUAUAUAUCUAGUGGUUUGUUCUUCUCUUCUAA